CAGUCGCCGCGGGAAUACAGAGGGUGCAAGCGUUAAUCGGAAUUACUGGGCGUAAAGCGCGCGUAGGUGGUUUGUUAAGUUGGAUGUGAAAGCCCCGGGCUCAACCUGGGAACUGCAUCCAAAACUGGCAAGCUAGAGUAUGGUAGAGGGUGGUGGAAUUUCCUGUGUAGCGGUGAAAUGCGUAGAUAUAGGAAGGAACACCAGUGGCGAAGGCGACCACCUGGACUGAUACUGACACUGAGGUGCUAAAGCGUGGGGAGCAAACAGGAUUAGAGACCCCAGUAGUCCCUGUCUCUUAUAC
RNAcentral lists this ribosomal RNA (301 nucleotides) under uncultured bacterium. RNAcentral describes it as "partial 16S ribosomal RNA". It matches the Rfam family "Bacterial small subunit ribosomal RNA", at positions 509 to 807 of the family's 1533-position model. The record is from RNAcentral.